CAAAAUAUAGCUUAAACAAAGCCUCCCGCUUACACCGAGAAGAUAUUUGUUGAAACCAAAUUAUUUUGA
RNAcentral lists this transfer RNA (69 nucleotides) under Limnonectes cf. kuhlii JF-2021. RNAcentral describes it as "tRNA-Val". It matches the Rfam family "tRNA". Rfam says of the family: Transfer RNA (tRNA) molecules are approximately 80 nucleotides in length. Their secondary structure includes four short double-helical elements and three loops (D, anti-codon, and T loops). Lineage: Eukaryota; Metazoa; Chordata; Amphibia; Anura; Dicroglossidae. The record is from RNAcentral.